Molecule: non-coding RNA, 187 nt
Filed under: Gammaproteobacteria bacterium
Lineage: Bacteria; Pseudomonadati; Pseudomonadota; Gammaproteobacteria
Description: 6S RNA
Rfam family: 6S / SsrS RNA
About the family: E. coli 6S RNA was the first non coding RNA to be sequenced, but its function was unknown until recently.
Source: RNAcentral
CAUCUCCUGUGGUGUACGUGAGCGGGCCGGGUAAUCCCUUGAGCCUUAAUUCAUACCUACGGGAACCCCCAUAUCGAUGUUGUUGUGCAUGUCCUCCCCUGGAGGAAAGCCUGAUACGUCGUCCGGGUUCCCACUUGAACCCCCAGGUUCAAGGUCGAAGGUCAGUCACGGCACCGGCGGGAGAUGC